UCCUACGGGAGGCAGCAGUAGGGAAUUUUGCGCAAUGGGGGAAACCCUGACGCAGCAACGCCGCGUGAACGAUGACGCUUUUCGGAGUGUAAAGUUCUGUCAGUGGGGACGAAAUUUGACGGUACCCACAGAGGAAGCACCGGCUAACUCCGUGCCAGCAGCCGCGGUAAUACGGGGGGUGCAAGCGUUGUCCGGAAUCAUUGGGCGUAAAGAGUUCGUAGGUGGUAUGUUAAGUCUGGUGUUAAAGCCCGAAGCUCAACUUCGGUUCGGCACUGGAUACUGGCAAACUUGAAUGCGGUAGAGGUAAAGGGAAUUCCUGGUGUAGCGGUGAAAUGCGUAGAUAUCAGGAGGAACAUCGGUGGCGUAAGCGCUUUACUGGGCCGUAAUUGACACUGAGGAACGAAAGCCAGGGUAGCAAAUGGGAUUAGAUACCCCAGUAGUCCUGGCCGUAAACGAUGGAUACUAGGUGUUGCGGGUAUCGACCCCUGCAGUGCCGUAGCUAACGCGAUAAGUAUCCCGCCUGGGGAGUACGCACGCAAGUGUGAAACUCAAAUGAAUUGACGG
Molecule: ribosomal RNA, 564 nt
Filed under: uncultured bacterium
Lineage: Bacteria
Description: bacterial SSU rRNA
Rfam family: Bacterial small subunit ribosomal RNA
Source: RNAcentral